RNAcentral lists this long non-coding RNA (245 nucleotides) under Lathyrus oleraceus (garden pea). RNAcentral's name for it is "Pisum sativum (pea) long non-coding RNA (PSAT_LNC016459)". Lineage: Eukaryota; Viridiplantae; Streptophyta; Magnoliopsida; Fabales; Fabaceae. The record is from RNAcentral.
UCUUCCAGACGAGUAACAAUGUUGAUCUUUCAAACCCUCCAGUUCAGGAUUUGCUGCCCUGGUGCACACGGUUUUACCCAACCAUCCAGCUUGCAGUCACUGUUGGUCUCUCCACCCACUGCACAGGUGUAAUCUGCAUCUUCAGCAAUUGCACUCACCGUCGCUUGACCAUGUACCGGCAUGGGAUUAGCAUUAACAUUCGGUGAUGGCGCAAAAUUGAUAGCUUUGGAGUCUACCAGGUCCUG